This 252-nucleotide ribosomal RNA is filed under the name uncultured bacterium. Its description in RNAcentral is "partial 16S ribosomal RNA". It matches the Rfam family "Bacterial small subunit ribosomal RNA", at positions 524 to 776 of the family's 1533-position model. The record is from RNAcentral.
UCCGUAGGUCCCGAGCGUUAUCCGGAUUUAUUGGGCGUAAAGCGAGCGCAGGCGGUUAGAAAAGUUUGAAGUUAAAGGCUGUGGCUUAACCAUAGUAUGCUUUGGAAACUGGUUAACUUGAGUGCUGGAGGGGGGAGUGGAAUUCCAUGUGUAGCGGUGAAAUGCGUAGAUAUAUGGAGGAACACCGGUGGCGAAAGCGGCUCCCUGGUCUGUGACUGACGCUGAGGCUCGAAAGCGUGGGUAGCGAACAGG